Molecule: non-coding RNA, 345 nt
Organism: Ictidomys tridecemlineatus (thirteen-lined ground squirrel)
Lineage: Eukaryota; Metazoa; Chordata; Mammalia; Rodentia; Sciuridae
Source: RefSeq, a predicted model, not a curated record
CCGAUGCCCCCUGCAGUGAGAACAUGGGUAAACCGGCUAGAGAAAGAGGUGACCUCGGCUGCAAUGGUGGCUACUUCAUCAGGCACAACAGAGACUCGGCACACCUGGACCCCCAGGGAGCGCAGUGUCCGGCACAGAAAUCACCAAACAGGUCCUUGGCACCUUUCACCUGGUCAAUGGCAACAGCCUCCUGGCCGAGCUCCCAGCCUCCAGCCACGGUGCUUUGCUCUGUGUCUUCUGAGUAACCUUCCUAAUGCGUCACUGUGAUUGCAUCACUUUUGGGCUCAAGAGCCAUUUGUUGUUUCCAACUGUAUGCAGAAUAAAGUUCAAAUUCUUUUGCAAGUA